RNAcentral lists this ribosomal RNA (807 nucleotides) under uncultured Pelagibacteraceae bacterium. Its description in RNAcentral is "bacterial SSU rRNA". It matches the Rfam family "Bacterial small subunit ribosomal RNA", at positions 34 to 889 of the family's 1533-position model. Lineage: Bacteria; Pseudomonadati; Pseudomonadota; Alphaproteobacteria; Candidatus Pelagibacterales; Candidatus Pelagibacteraceae. The record is from RNAcentral.
CGCUGGCGGCACGCCUUAUACAUGCAAGUCGAACGCAGUAGCAAUACUGAGUGGCAAACGGGUGAGUAUAAUGUGGGUAUCUGCCUUUUGGUUUGGAAUAACACGAGGAAACUUGUGCUAAUACCGAAUAAGCCCUCACGGGGAAAGUUUUAACGCCGAAAGAUGAGCCCGCACUUGAUUAGCUAGUUGGUGAGGUAAAGGCUCACCAAGGCAACGAUCAAUAGCUGUUCUUAGAGGAAGACCAGCCACAUUGGGACUGAGACACGGCCCAGACUCCUACGGGAGGCAGCAGUAAGGAAUCUUGCACAAUGGGGGAAACCCUGAUGCAGCGAUGCCGCGUGAGUGAAGAAGGCCCUUGGGUUGUAAAACUCUUUCGUCGGGGAAGAAAAUGACUGUACCCGAAUAAGAAGGUCCGGCUAACUUCGUGCCAGCAGCCGCGGUAAUACGAAGGGACCUAGCGUAGUUCGGAAUUACUGGGCUUAAAGAGCUCGUAGGUGGUUAAAAAAGUUGAUUGUGAAAUCCCAAGGCUCAACCUUGGAACUGCAAUCAAAACUUUUUAGCUUGAGUGUGAUAGAGGAAAGUGGAAUUUCUAGUGUAGAGGUGAAAUUCGUAGAUAUUAGAAAGAACAUCAAAUGCGAAGGCAACUUUCUGGGUCACUACUGACACUGAGGAGCGAAAGCAUGGGUAGCGAAGAGGAUUAGAUACCCUCGUAGUCCAUGCCGUAAACGAUGUGUGCUAGACGUUGGAAAUAUAUUUUUCAGUGUCGCAGCGAAAGCAUUAAGCACACCGCCUGGGGAGUACGACCGC